CAGCUGAUAGUUUAUUUAAAAUUUUAAUUUUGGAUAUUAAAGAUAUGAGGUUGUUUAGCUGA
This 62-nucleotide transfer RNA is filed under the name Sogata hakonensis. RNAcentral's name for it is "tRNA-Pro". Lineage: Eukaryota; Metazoa; Arthropoda; Insecta; Hemiptera; Delphacidae. The record is from RNAcentral.